AGUGAACGCUGGCGGUAGGCCUAACACAUGCAAGUCGAACGGCAGCACAGUAAGAGCUUGCUCUUACGGGUGGCGAGUGGCGGACGGGUGAGGAAUACAUCGGAAUCUACUUUUUCGUGGGGGAUAGCGUAGGGAAACUUACGCUAAUACCGCAUACGACCUACGGGUGAAAGCAGGGGAUCUUCGGACCUUGCGCGAUUGAAUGAGCCGAUGUCGGAUUAGCUAGUUGGCGGGGUAAAGGCCCACCAAGGCGACGAUCCGUAGCUGGUCUGAGAGGAUGAUCAGCCACACUGGAACUGAGACACGGUCCAGACUCCUACGGGAGGCAGCAGUGGGGAAUAUUGGACAAUGGGCGCAAGCAUGAUCCAGCCAUACCGCGUGGGUGAAGAAGGCCUUCGGGUUGUAAAGCCCUUUUGUUGGGAAAGAAAAGCAGCAGGUUAAUACCCCGCUGUUCUGACGGUACCCAAAGAAUAAGCACCGGCUAACUUCGUG
This 492-nucleotide ribosomal RNA is filed under the name uncultured bacterium. RNAcentral's name for it is "partial 16S ribosomal RNA". It matches the Rfam family "Bacterial small subunit ribosomal RNA", at positions 29 to 507 of the family's 1533-position model. The record is from RNAcentral.